GACGAACGCUGGCGGCGUGCUUAACACAUGCAAGUCGAACGGAAAGGCCCUGCUUUUGUGGGGUGCUCGAGUGGCGAACGGGUGAGUAACACGUGAGUAACCUGCCCUUGACUUUGGGAUAACUUCAGGAAACUGGGGCUAAUACCGGAUAGGAGCUCCUGCUGCAUGGUGGGGGUUGGAAAGUUUCGGCGGUUGGGGAUGGACUCGCGGCUUAUCAGCUUGUUGGUGGGGUAGUGGCUUACCAAGGCUUUGACGGGUAGCCGGCCUGAGAGGGUGACCGGCCACAUUGCGACUGAGAUACGGACCAGACUCCUACGGGAGGCAGCAGUGGGGAAUAUUGCACAAUGGGCGGAAGCCUGAUGCAGCAACGCCGCGUGCGGGAUGACGGCCUUCGGGUUGUAAACCGCUUUCGCCUGUGACGAAGAGUGAGUGACGGUAAUGGGUAAAGAAGCACCGGCUAACUACGUG
RNAcentral lists this ribosomal RNA (468 nucleotides) under uncultured bacterium. RNAcentral describes it as "partial 16S ribosomal RNA". It matches the Rfam family "Bacterial small subunit ribosomal RNA", at positions 28 to 507 of the family's 1533-position model. The record is from RNAcentral.